GAUGAACGCUGGCGGCGUGCCUAAUACAUGCAAGUCGAGCGAACAGACGAGGAGCUUGCUCCUCUGACGUUAGCGGAGGACGGGUGAGUAACACGUGGAUCACCCACUUAUAUGUCUGGUAUAACUUCGGGAAACCGGCGCUAAUACCGGAUGAUAUACUGCACCGCAUGGGUCAAUGGUGAAAGUCGGUGUUGCUGUCACUUCUAGAUGGUUCCCCGCCGCAUUAGCUGGUUGGUAAGGUAACGGCUUACCAAGGCAACGAUGCGUAGCCGACCUGAGAGGGGGGUCGGCCACACUGGAACUGGGACACGGUCCAUGCUCCUACGGGAGGCAGCAGUAGGGAAUGUUCCGCAGUGGGCGAAAGCCUGACGGAGCAACGCCGCGUGAGUUGUGAAGGUCUUCGGAGCGUAAAACUCGGUUAUUAGGGAAGAACAAAUUUGGAAGUAACUAUGCACGUAUUGACGGUAACUAAUCAGAAAGCCACGGCUAACUACGUG
Molecule: ribosomal RNA, 497 nt
Filed under: uncultured bacterium
Lineage: Bacteria
Description: partial 16S ribosomal RNA
Rfam family: Bacterial small subunit ribosomal RNA
Source: RNAcentral